Non-coding RNA from Megalobrama amblycephala (Wuchang bream), 854 nucleotides. NCBI's taxonomy places the organism in Eukaryota, Metazoa, Chordata, Actinopteri, Cypriniformes, Xenocyprididae. The record is from the annotation of a RefSeq genome assembly.
AGUUGGUGAAGCGACUCAGACGCCUGCAGUGAAAUCUGUUCAUCUAGGAAACACAUUCACCAUGUCCUGUAAAAGCAGUCCUGACGUCUAUCAGAGUUGGGAUCAUCAACCUCUAUCCUGGUUCAGUGAUAAAGAGUCAAAAACCUCCGUCAGUCAGAGUCACAGUGAUUUGUGCUAGAAACACUGAAUAAGUUCAUUCACAAAUAUGAGGCUGCAGCAGAUGAGAAGAUUUGAAGUCAAUAACAUCAUUUUAGAGCUUCAGACGACUGAGAAUAUCGAGCACAGGAUGAGAUGAACGAGCUCCUCCUGAACCUUCAUUUAGAGCCUCAUUUAAAUACAGAAUGAGUUCAUUUGCAUAUUGAUCAGAUGCUUCAGUGCUCUGAGAGUGUUUAUAGUGCUGUGAGUUUAACACUUCAUCACUGACACACACAACAAUCUUCAUCAACAUGACCUUCAUCAUCAUCUUCAUCUGGACUCUCACAGCGUUUGCUCAAGAGUGUAGAGGACAGAUCACCGUCACUCAGAGUCCCUCAAUGACAGCAGCUCAACCAGAACAAACUGUGAACAUCAACUGUAAAACCAGCACAGAUGUGCAGAGAUGGCCUAGUGGAGAUGAAGGUUUAGCCUGGUACUUACAGAAACCUGGAGAAGCUCCUAAACUCCUGAUUUAUUAUGCAAACAACCUCCAGUCAGGAACUCCAUCUAGAUUCAGUGGCAGUGGAUCUAACAGUGAUUUCACUCUGACCAUCAGUGGAGUCCAGACUGAAGAUGCUGGACUUUAUUACUGUCAGAGUUUCCAUUGCAGAAGACGUUCUGAUGGUCAUUGUGUGGGUGACCAUGUGUUCACACAGUGA